This 164-nucleotide ribosomal RNA is filed under the name Candidatus Micrarchaeota archaeon CG09_land_8_20_14_0_10_60_16. Its description in RNAcentral is "partial 16S ribosomal RNA". It matches the Rfam family "Archaeal small subunit ribosomal RNA", at positions 1274 to 1439 of the family's 1478-position model. The record is from RNAcentral. Lineage: Archaea; Nanobdellati; Microcaldota.
CCAUGAAGUUGGAAUCCCUAGUAAUCGCGCGUCAUCAUCGCGCGGUGAAUAUGUCCCCGCUCCUUGCACACACCGCCCGUCAAGCCAUCCAAGCGGGGUUCUAGUGAGGCUUCGGCUUCGGCCGGAUUCGAGCUAAGACUCUGUGAGGGGGGUUAAGUCGUAAA